UACGGAGGGAGCUAGCGUUGUUCGGAAAUACUGGGCGUAAAGCGCACGUAGGCGGCGCAGCAAGUCAGGGGUGAAAUCCCGGGGCUCAACCCCGGAACUGCCCUUGAAACUGCAGUGCCAGAAUUCUGGAGAGGCGAGUGGAAUUCCGAGUGUAGAGGUGAAAUUCGUAGAUAUUCGGAAGAACACCAGUGGCGAAGGCGACUCGCUGGACAGACAUUGACGCUGAGGUGCGAAAGCGUGGGGAGCAAACAGG
Molecule: ribosomal RNA, 253 nt
Filed under: uncultured bacterium
Lineage: Bacteria
Description: partial 16S ribosomal RNA
Rfam family: Bacterial small subunit ribosomal RNA
Source: RNAcentral